RNAcentral lists this ribosomal RNA (406 nucleotides) under Salmonella enterica. Its description in RNAcentral is "partial 23S ribosomal RNA". It matches the Rfam family "Bacterial large subunit ribosomal RNA", at positions 2543 to 2925 of the family's 2925-position model. Lineage: Bacteria; Pseudomonadati; Pseudomonadota; Gammaproteobacteria; Enterobacterales; Enterobacteriaceae. The record is from RNAcentral.
CAUCCUGGGGCUGAAGCAGGUCCCAAGGGUAUGGCUGUUCGCCAUUUAAAGAGGUACGCGAGCUGGGUUUAGAACGUCGUGAGACAGUUCGGUCCCUAUCUACCGUGGGCGUUGGAAAUUUGAGAGGAUCUGCUCCUAGUACGAGAGGACCAGAGUGGACGAACCUCUGGUGUACCGGUUGUCACGCCAGUGGCAUCGCCGGGUAGCUAUGUUCAGAAGGGAUAACCGCUGAAAGCAUCUAAGCGGGAAGCCUACCUCAAGAUAAGAUUUCCCCGAGACUUUAUGUCUCCUAAAGAGCCGUUGAAGACUACGACGUUGAUAGGUUGGAUGUGGAAGCAUAGUGAUAUGUGAAGCUGACCAAUACUAAUUGCUCGUGAGGCUUGACUAUACAACACCCAAACAGUUG